UACGUAGGGUCCAAGCGUUGUCCGGAAUUAUUGGGCGUAAAGAGCUCGUAGGCGGCUUGUCGCGUCGUCCGUGAAAACCUGGGGCUCAACCCCAGGCUUGCGGUCGAUACGGGCAGGCUCGAGUUCGGUAGGGGAGACUGGAAUUCCUGGUGUAGCGGUGAAAUGCGCAGAUAUCAGGAGGAACACCGGUGGGGAAGGCGGGUCUCUGGGCCGAUAUUGACGCUGAGGAGCGAAAGCGUGGGGAGCGAACAGG
Molecule: ribosomal RNA, 253 nt
Filed under: uncultured bacterium
Lineage: Bacteria
Description: partial 16S ribosomal RNA
Rfam family: Bacterial small subunit ribosomal RNA
Source: RNAcentral